This is a long non-coding RNA of Falco peregrinus (peregrine falcon), 444 nucleotides long. RefSeq lists it as uncharacterized. The record is from RefSeq and is a predicted model, not a curated record. The transcript is spliced from 3 exons. NCBI's taxonomy places the organism in Eukaryota, Metazoa, Chordata, Aves, Falconiformes, Falconidae.
GGAGCUGAAAGUUGGUACGCUUGGAAUAACGCUACACAGAGUGGAGGAGAGCAGCAUUUUGUUCAGAGAUGGACACUGAUGUCUACCACCAAAGAGGCAGUGAGCCUAUGCAACGCUUUGCCACACAUUGCACGGCCAAUCUCUUCUGCAAAGGGGGACAAAGACUGAACCAGCAACACCAUGCUAGAGCCAGGAAACCCAUGCACAUACUUGGGGCAUGAAGGAGCCCAGCUAUUUCAGCCCUGUUGCCUCAUCCUUCAAGGGAUUUUUAACUUCCAAAAGAGCACAGAAAACCCCUUCCUUCCUCAUCCAUGGAUCUGCUGAUCUGCAGUAAAUACCAGCACUUUGGUAAGCAAAAAUGUUCAAAUUCUGGGAGAAGCAAGAUGCCUUAAAAUGAAAGCCAGGUACCAUACCUCUGCCCACCACCUCUCUUGAGAUGCCUUC